This 353-nucleotide long non-coding RNA is filed under the name Sarcophilus harrisii (Tasmanian devil). RNAcentral's name for it is "lncRNA (ENSSHAG00000028296.1)". The record is from RNAcentral. Lineage: Eukaryota; Metazoa; Chordata; Mammalia; Dasyuromorphia; Dasyuridae.
UUUGGUGCAGCUUUUAUUCCAGACUUCGGGAGGAAAGGGGCAAUGGGCACUGGGUGAAGGACCAAAGAGAAAUCUACUUCAGGAUAAUCAAAAAGCAAAAUUGACAUCCUUCUCCAUCUCAGGACCUGAUACCAUUCUCAUCAUAGCCAUCAGUUGUGCCAGCAUCCUUCUCUUCUUGGUCUUGCUAAGCUAUUAUCUCCAUCGUAUCAUGGCUGCUCAUAAAGAAGCCCGGAGAAGGGACCCAGGAUGCCAGUCUCAACAUCCUCCUUCCAUUCACCCUAGAACAUCCAAUGAAGAAGCCACAUGUAAGUCUCUGGACAAGAAAGGACAGGAUCCUGGGAGUGUGAGUGGGG